GACGGAGGAUGCAAGCGUUAUCCGGAAUGAUUGGGCGUAAAGCGUCCGCAGGUGGCACUUCAAGUCUGUCGUCAAAGACUGGGGCUUAACCCUGGAAAGGCGGUGGAAACUGAAGCGCUAGAGUGCGGUAGGGGUAGAGGGAAUUCCCGGUGUAGCGGUGAAAUGCGUAGAGAUGGGGGAGAACACUCGUGGCGAAGGCGGCCAGCUAGACCAGCUCUGACACUGAGGCGCGACAGCGUGGGGAGCAAACAGG
RNAcentral lists this ribosomal RNA (253 nucleotides) under uncultured bacterium. RNAcentral's name for it is "partial 16S ribosomal RNA". It matches the Rfam family "Bacterial small subunit ribosomal RNA", at positions 524 to 776 of the family's 1533-position model. The record is from RNAcentral.